CCCGCCAUCGAUCCCGCCCGUUGCCGGGACCGGAAGUGCGUCACGGCACUUCCGGCGCGACGGCUCCAAGAUGGCGGCGCUGGCUCUGAGGGGUUUGGGGCGGCGCUGCCUCCUGGCCCGGCUGGGGCCCGGCCCCGCCCUGCACCAGGCUGUCCCCAUGGCCACCACGGCCCGCGAGGAGAUGAGGAGGUUCUGGGAGAGGAACGAGCGCUCGGGGCGGCCCCUGUCCCCCCACGUCAGCAUCUACAAGUGGUCGCUGCCCAUGGCCAUGUCCAUCACCCACCGCGGCACCGGCGUCGCCCUCAGCCUCGGUGUGUCCCUGUCCCCAGGUGUGUCCCCAGGUGUGUCCCUGAGUGUCCCCGCUGUCCCCAGGUGUGUCCCUGUCCCCAGGUGUGUCCCUGUUCUCGGUGGCCGCCCUGCUGCUCCCCGAGCCCUUCCCCCAUUACCUGGCCCAGGUGGGGGGGCUGAGCCUGGGCCCCGCCCUCGUCUGCUCGGCCAAGUUCCUGCUGGCCCUGCCCUUCUGCUACCACACCUGGAACGGCCUGCGCCACCUGGUGAGGGCCUCGGGCACCUGCAGGGGCCUCUGGGGACAGCAGGCCUGGGACCUGGGCAAGGGGCUGCGGCUGCCGCAGGUGACACAGUCGGGGCUGCUGGUGCUGGCCCUGACGCUGCUCUCCUCGGCCGGCCUGGCCGCGCUGUGACAGCGACAGCGACAGCGACAGCGACAGCCCCGGGGCGUCCCCCGCCAUCCCGGGAAUGGCGGGAAUGCCGCCCCCGCCCUGGGGAAGGUGACACCUCCCCUCCCCCUCCCCAAAAUCCCAGGAUGAGCAGAGCUGCCCCUCCCCCCAGCGGUGUCCCCAGCGGUGUCCCCCAGCGGUGUCCCCAGUGUCCCCACGUGUCCCCGAGGCCGGGACAAUGCGGGAUCUGUGUCCCCACGAGUGGGAUUGGCACCGGGGCGGGGAUCGCAGCGGGACAAGGAGCUCCAUUGAGGCAGCGCCCCACGGGGGUGGGUGACAGGUGACAUCUCGGUGCCACCCCGCUGCCACCCCGGGGCUCCUCAACGCCGUGGGAAUUCCAUGAUUCAGCUCAUUUCGGGGGUGAAAUCCCAGGUUUGGAGCCACCAAGGGCUGGGUGACAGGUGACAUCUCAGUGCCACCCCGCUGUCACCCUGGUGUCACCCCUGGUCUCCCCAACCCCGUGGGAAUUCCAUGAUUCAGCUCAUUUUGGGGUGAAAUCCCAAUUUUGGAGCCACCAUGGGGGCUGGGUGACAGGUGACAUCUCGGUGCCACCCCGCUGUCACCCCGGUGUCACCCCGGGGGUCCCAAACCCCGUGGGAAUUCCAUGUUCAGCCCAUUUUGGGGUGAAAUCCCAAUUUUGGAGCCUCCUGCCAGUGGGGAGGCAGCGCCCCACAGGGGUAAGUGACAGGUGACAUCUCGGUGCCACCCCGCUGUCACCCCGGUGUCACCCCGGGGGUCCCAAACCCCGUGGGAAUUCCAUGUUCAGCCCAUUUUGGGGUGAAAUCCCAAUUUUGGAGCCUCCUGCCAGUGGGGAGGCAGCGCCCCACAGGGGUAGGUGACAGGUGACAUCUCGGUGCCACCCCGCUGUCACCCUGCUGUCACCCCGGGGGUCCCCAACCCCGUGGGAAUUCCAUGUUCAGCUCAUUUUGGGGUGAAAUCCCAAUUUUGGAGCCUCCUGCCAGUGGGAACGUCCUGGUUUCGUGCUGGGGAGGGGAUUGUCACCCCAGGCGCUGUCACCCCAGGCGGUGUCACCCCAGGCGGUGUCACCCCAGGCGGUGUCACCCCAGGCGGUGUCACCCCAGGCGGUGUCACCUGUCCCCUGGGGAAUAAAGCAGCUCUGAUCCUCCA
RNA transcript from Haemorhous mexicanus (house finch), 1865 nucleotides. It is a transcript of the gene named succinate dehydrogenase complex subunit C, with no coding region annotated. The record is from RefSeq and is a predicted model, not a curated record. The transcript is spliced from 9 exons. NCBI's taxonomy places the organism in Eukaryota, Metazoa, Chordata, Aves, Passeriformes, Fringillidae.